AAAAGAUGGGGACCGUUGGAUUUAUGCCAAGUGGUAAAAUAUGAUGAGAAGAGAGAAGGUUGAGUGAAAGAUCAAUGAUUUAACGCGAUGCGACGACAAUGCAAAAAAUAGAGGAAGAAUCCUCCACCAGUGGCGGUUCUCCACCCAAGAUAGCAACACAACGCCCAAGGCAGCGCACGGCGUCCAAGGGGGUGGUGACACACUUCCCUAAGCGGCAGUGUGCCUCACUAGGCUGUCGCGCGCUGCAAGCCUACUGCGCAGACGACCUGCACAUAGGGUGCGUUGUGCCUAGCCUUGUUUGCGCGCGAUGUGAUGCACGUGGACUGGUUUAUCUGUGUGCAACGUGAUGCGCGCGUAGACCGGCCCCACG
RNAcentral lists this long non-coding RNA (370 nucleotides) under Carica papaya (papaya). RNAcentral describes it as "long non-coding RNA (CPAP_LNC014086)". The record is from RNAcentral. Lineage: Eukaryota; Viridiplantae; Streptophyta; Magnoliopsida; Brassicales; Caricaceae.